AGAAUCAACGCUGGCGGCGUGCCUAACACAUGCAAGUCGCACGAGAAAGUGGAGCAAUCCAUGAGUAAAGUGGCGCACGGGUGAGUAACACGUGAAUUAUCUACCUCCGAGUGGGGAAUAACUGAGAGAAAUCUUAGCUAAUACCGCAUAACACUUACGAGUCAAAGCAGCAAUGCGCUUGGAGAGGAGUUCGCGGCCGAUUAGUUAGUUGGCGGGGUAAUGGCCCACCAAGACGAUGAUCGGUAUCCGGCCUGAGAGGGCGCACGGACACACUGGAACUGAAACACGGUCCAGACUCCUACGGGAGGCAGCAGUGGGGAAUUUUGCGCAAUGGGGGAAACCCUGACGCAGCAACGCCGCGUGGAGGAUGAAAUCCCUUGGGAUGUAAACUCCUUUCGAUAGGGAAGAUAAUGACGGUACCUAUAGAAGAAGCCCCGGCUAACUUCGUGCCAGCAGCCGC
This 460-nucleotide ribosomal RNA is filed under the name uncultured bacterium. RNAcentral's name for it is "SSU rRNA". It matches the Rfam family "Bacterial small subunit ribosomal RNA", at positions 26 to 518 of the family's 1533-position model. The record is from RNAcentral.